Meriones unguiculatus (Mongolian gerbil) is the source of this 4259-nucleotide long non-coding RNA. RefSeq lists it as uncharacterized. The transcript has 2 exons. The record is from RefSeq and is a predicted model, not a curated record. NCBI's taxonomy places the organism in Eukaryota, Metazoa, Chordata, Mammalia, Rodentia, Muridae.
CCAGCCUAUAGGUGUUUACUUUGUUCUUCCAAGUUCAGCAAAUGUGGGAGGCCAAGAGCCUCUUUGAAAAAAAAGGUUUUCACAUUUUGAUCUCUUGUAGAACCUGCAGGAGGCAUUUGAGAGGCUCUGGGUUCAGUUUUUAGCACCAGCAAACAACAAAACAAAAGGAAUAAAAAUGAAAAAAAGAAAUGCCAGCUCAAUUAAUUUGGAUUUGAAUAAGACGGAAGGGUGCUCCAAGGUUUAGAGUAAUUAUUGCGCUUUCAGAUGACCCAGGUUCAGUCACCAGCACCACAAAAGGUGGCUGACGGCUGCCUUUAACUCCAGUUCAGCCUCCUUGGGCACCUGGACUCACAAGGCACAUGGACAUAUACAUCAAUACGGGAAUAUCUAUUUCUUCACAAGUGUGUGUGGGGGGAGUGGGGCCAUGACCACAUUCUGUGUAGCUCAGCCACCCACCUCCCACCUGGCUUAGUGAGCCAUAGUGUCCUCUUGUGGACACUGUGAGGAGUGAUUGAAGCCAGCAUAGAAAAGAGAAGCUGAGGGCUGGAGAGAGGGCUCAGCGGUUAAGAGCACCGACUGCUUUUUCAGAGGACCUGGGUUCAAUUUCCAGCACCCCCACGGGAGCUCACAACUGUCUGUAGCUCCAGCUCCAGGACAGCCAGGGCUACGCAGAGAAGCCCUGUCUCAAAACAAACAAACAAGCAAACAAAACCUAAAAAAAAUUUUAAAAAGAGAAAAGGAGGAAGAAGGAAAGAAGAGAGAGAGGGAAAAAGAAAAGAAAAAAGAUGACGGAGCUGCUUAUUUCGGGUCCUCCGAAACUAGGACUGCUGGCCCUGGCCAGAGCGGGCGGCAGGCCCUCGGGGUAGCUCACUUACAAACUGUAGAGCCUCGCUGUGGAUGGCACUCGGCCUGUGAGUCACACAAAGGGAUGCCUGUUCCUGCCCACUGCUGACCUGUCGCUGAGGAAUCACUGCCUCACCCAGCCACACAACUGGUUUUGAAGUUUGUGAGUGGUGUGGGCUUGGCACGAGAGGGGACUGUCUUCACCGGAGCCUCCUGGGUUGUCUUUAGAAGCAAUCUCCUACCUUCCUGCUCGCCUGGAGAGCGGGGUUCAGCUUGUCUUCUCUGACAGAAAUGCCAUAGGUCCCUUCUAAAGCCUCAGGUACCCCUCCCUGACUAUCACCACCUUCGUAAAUGUUCUAAUUUACAGAUCUCCUCCUUUUUGCACUAAGGAAAGAGUACAGAGCAUGUGACCUAUCUCUGUCCAGUCCGGAUGUGUGUGGUUCAGGUCCCCGUGUUCUGUGCAAGGGUUUCCUGCUAGAUUCCGAAGUUCAAGAAGAUUUGGCCCUUGGGUAGCUUGGAUUUUCCAUUAGGAGGCCUGCUGUGCCUCGCUUUGUCUCUUCCUUGGUCUUUAAAGUUUUGAUAGCAUCAAGUUAGGCGGCACUGGGUAAUCUCAGGUCACACUUCUCUGCGUUGUUGACUAAAGCACCGUUUCCUGAGAGUUUGGAUGGAGCUGUGCUUGAGGGCAGCUUCUCACACCAAGCCUGCUGACCUGAAUGACAGCCAGGAUCCACGUGGUGGAAAGUGAGAACCUCUGACUUCUACAAGCAUGAGGUGGCACUUGUGCAUACAUAAGUAAAUAAAUAUAAUUUAAAAGAAUUUUGAAGGGGGCUGGAGAGAAGGCCCAGCUGCUGAGCGCACUGGGCGUUCUUCCAGAGGACCUGGAUUUGAUCAGCACCCAUAGGGCAGCGCCCAGUGUUCUGUAACUCCAGUCCCAGGGGAUUCUUUAUGUUUUCCUUGGGCACUAGACAUAUAUGCAGGCAAACACCCACACACGAAAAAUGGAAAAAAAUAUUUUUGAGACAGUGUCUUCAUGUAGCUUUGGUUGUUCUAAUGUAGAAGAGGCUGUCCUUGAACUCACAGAGAUCCACCUGUCUAUGCCUCCUGAGUUCUGGUUUUAAAGGUGUGGUUUGAAAAUAAAUAAAUAGAGGAAUUUAAAAGUAAAGCAGGCAGGAAGGGGAAGAAACCGGGUAACAAGGCCUCACCCUUACCUGUGUCUACUUAGAGAUUCCUUCCCCUGAAGAUUUGUGGGCUCUGACUCCAGCCUGCUACCCAAUCUUCUCUUCUGUGGGAGGAAUUAAUAGUGAGUGUUGACAUUUAUUUUACCUUUGACCUUCUAGUGUAGUCAUGGAAGAACUUUGACAAGUGAGCCGCCUCCCUUUAAGCUAGUCUAGAGCUGGACACUGAGACUCCGUCUGGGCCUGCUCCUCCCACCAUCAGGAUGCUGGAAGGAGGUGGCUCUUUCUUUGGCAGAAAACAGCAUGCACAUAGUCCUAGGCUGCUCUUGUGAGUUCUUCCUCAGCUCAGACACUGAACUCUCUCUUUCUCUCCCCAUUUCUCUCCUAGAUCCAACCUCCCCAUGAAGUUCAUUAGAGUUUGAUCCUUGAAACUUGACAGAGGGUCAUCUAUUUCUGUGACUUUUACUUUCUUUUAUUCUUUCUUUCUUUCUUUCUUUCUUUCUUUCUUUCUGACAGACUCUCACACUGCCUGUAUCCCAGGGUGGCUCUGAACUGAAGACCUUUCUGCCUUUGUCUCCUGAGUGCUGGAAUUACAAAAGCAAGUCCCCUUGUCUGGCUUAUUUCUGUGGCUUAAAUACCUACUCUUGUUAAACGCGGUUUGCUUUCAUUUUGGAGCUCCAGGGUGAGGUUUAAAAAGGAGUUAAGUUGGCAGUGGCAGUCAUUCAUCCAACAACGUGUUUCAUCUAAAUGAGACGCAAACCUAGUGCAAAAAUGAAUUCCACACAGGCCUCGAAACCUGAUCCCCAAACAUCUCAGCUAGCAGCCCCACCAGAACCCAGUGUCCUGACCCUGGUGCUGGGUCUCAGGCUCUGCCUCCCUCACAAGGUAUCUCGCUGCCCGUAGAAUAAAGCUCAAACUUCUCUGCAAAGCCUAGAAAGCAACACAAGUCAGCAUUGAACUUGGGUGUUAAAGCUGGACUGUUUUUUUUUGGGGGGGGCACUGCUAGUUUUGUUACUCUGUUGGGAUCAUCUCUUUGUGUACUGUGUAAAGGUUGUCUUUGUAUUAUUCAAAUGCUGAUUUAUGUACCCGCAAAGAUUUGACAACAGGCUGGACCUCGGUAUUGUUAUUUUUUUCACGAAGCAUCGCCUGUCUCUGUUUCGUAAACAUCUUUCCCAUCACCUUCUGACUGGUUUAAUAAAGAGCUGAACAACCUAUAGCAACGCAGGAGAGGGAUGGGAAUGCUGGGGGAAAAAAUCAGGUGCAGGAGACUGGCCAACCAGAUGAAGAGGAAGAAACAGGUGCUGGUACUGAGGAGCGGUAGCAAGCAGAAUGUAGAUUAGUAUAAACUAAGUUAUACCAGCACGUUGGGGACAAGCCUAAGCUAAGGCUAUGUUUUCAUAUAUAAAUAAAGUCUCUGCAUCAUUAUUUGGGCGCUGGCGGUGGAGACAAUCCGGCGAUCCAGUUCUCUAUACGACUCUGGGCAAAAUACUUCGAUCUCUCUGUGCCUCACUUUACACCACCUAGAAGAGUCACUGAACGACACGAUUAUCUGCUUCUUAAGAAGGUGAGUCGUGCCUGCGCCCUGCUGCGGGUACUUAUAAGCCACCUCCUCACCGCCUCCGCGGCUUUUACUCCUUCACGAUGCUCCAGCCACACUGCGUCGCUCUGAGUUCCUUAAGUGGGCCUUCACGGCUAAACACUCCGCUUCAAGGCAGCUCCAGAAGCAAGUCAUCCUCGACCAUCCUCCUAAAACAGGUCCUUCGAAAACGAACUCUCUUCCUUUCUAACACUGGCCACCAUUUUUGUAGCUUUUUAAUUUUUCCCAGACAAGGUAGGCCAGGCUGGCCCGAACUCACGUAUAGAGCCUAGGUGGCUUAGAACUCCCAGUCUUCUGGCCUCGGGUUCUCACGUAGCGAAUUUGUUUAACGCCUGGUACCAUCACCACAAAAGCCCACCAGGGAGAACUGACUGUACUGGUUCUAUUUUCAGAAUAGGCCUGGUGACGUGAUGUAGCUCUCUAGAGCACUGGCCUCGGACCUGCUAACUGUAGCAAGGCCUUGGGUUUCAUCCCCAGACCUUCUAGUGCAACAAAGUGGAUCGAAUUCAUUAUCACCCAACUGCACUUACUGAAGACCCGGAUGAGGAAGUAAAUAGAUGGAAGUUACAGGCAUCUGUACUUCCCACCCACUGGUGAUCCCAACCUUUGAAUAAACGACCGCGUGCUUGCUUUUCUUCCUCGAA